AGUGAACGCUGGCGGUAGGCCUAACACAUGCAAGUCGAACGGCAGCACAGUAAGAGCUUGCUUUUACGGGUGGCGAGUGGCGGACGGGUGAGGAAUACAUCGGAAUCUACUUUUUCGUGGGGGAUAACGUAGGGAAACUUACGCUAAUACCGCAUACGACCUACGGGUGAAAGCAGGGGAUCUUCGGACCUUGCGCGAUUGAAUGAGCCGAUGUCGGAUUAGCUAGUUGGCGGGGUAAAGGCCCACCAAGGCGACGAUCCGUAGCUGGUCUGAGGGGAUGAUCAGCCAACUUGGAUCCGAGACACGGGCCAGAAUCAUACGGGGGGCAGCAGUGGGAAAUUUUGGCCAAUGGGGGAAAGCCUGAGCCGGCCAAACGCCGGGGGGGAAGAAGGCCUUCGGGUUGUAAAGCCCUUUUGUUGGGAAAGAAAAGGAGAAGUUUAAUCCCCCGCGUUUUGGACGGGCCCCAAAGAAUAAGCCCCGGCUAACUUCGG
Molecule: ribosomal RNA, 491 nt
Filed under: uncultured bacterium
Lineage: Bacteria
Description: partial 16S ribosomal RNA
Rfam family: Bacterial small subunit ribosomal RNA
Source: RNAcentral